RNAcentral lists this ribosomal RNA (468 nucleotides) under uncultured bacterium. Its description in RNAcentral is "partial 16S ribosomal RNA". It matches the Rfam family "Bacterial small subunit ribosomal RNA", at positions 28 to 507 of the family's 1533-position model. The record is from RNAcentral.
GACGAACGCUGGCGGCGUGCUUAACACAUGCAAGUCGAACGGAAAGGCCCUGCUUUUGUGGGGUGCUCGAGUGGCGAACGGGUGAGUAACACGUGUGUAUCCUGCCCUUGACUUUGGGAUAACUUCACGAAACUGGGGCUAAUACCGGAGAGGAGCUCCUGCUGCAUGGUGGGGGUUGGAAAGUUUCGGCGGUGGGGGAUGGACUCGCGGCUUAUCAGCUGGUUGGUGGGGUAGUGGCUUACCAAGGCUUUGACGGGUAGCCGGCCUGAGAGGGUGACCGGCGACAUUGGGACUGCGAUACGGACCAGAAGCCUACGGGAGGCAGCAGUGGGGAGUAUUGCGCAGUGGGCGGAAGCCUGAUGUAGCAGCGCCGCGUGCGGGAUGACGGCCUAUGGGUUGUAAACCGCUUUCGAAUGAGCCGAAGCGUGAGUGACGGUAAUGGGUAAAGAAGCACCGGCUAACUACGUG